Long non-coding RNA from Pan paniscus (pygmy chimpanzee), 1061 nucleotides. Lineage: Eukaryota; Metazoa; Chordata; Mammalia; Primates; Hominidae. The record is from Ensembl.
GUGUUGCCGUAAGGCUACUGAGCUCUCUGGGUGUCUAGCCUUGCCUUCUUGUCAUCAGCUAUUAAAACUACUAAAACAGAAGAAUGCUUAACCACUACAGCUGUUAAAACAUUAGUACGUGCUUUGUCUCAUGAGGCCAACACAGUACUUCAAAACCAAACACUUAUGAAUUUCUUCUCAACGAUCAUUGCUGCAGCCCCAGGGAAAAUCAAGACAGCUGUGAGUGGUCAUGGAAGCUCACAGAUCAUAAAUUUGAUGCUGGAAGAAGACUUUUCAUGCCUUUUCUUAGAGACAGGGUCUCACUCUGUCACCCAGGCUGGAGAGCAGGGGCGCAAUCAGAACUCACUGCAGCCUCCAACUCCUGGGCUCAAGCAAUCCUCCCACCUCCACCUCCUGAGUAACUGGAACUACAGGUACACACUACUACAUUUGGUUAUUAUUAUUUUUUCUUUUUUUGUAGAGAUUGGGUCUUGCUAUGUUUCCUGGGCUGGUCUUGGACUUCUGGCCUCAAGUGAUUCUGCUGCCUCAGCCUCCCAAAGUGCUGGGAUUAUAGGCAUGAGCCACUGUACCUGGCCAUGCCUUGUUUUUUAAGGUGCUUUUUCUUUCCUGUUUCCUUGAGCUCCAUAUUCACAUAUACAACUGAGUUCUGCACAGUUUCUCUUAGAACUUGCAAAGACAUUUUAAACUCAGUAAUUGAACAAACACAUUCUUUUCCCCCCUUUCACCACCAUACCCCCUUGUUUUCUGGACUAUAUUAUUCUGGCCCUAAAUUACUAUUUCUCUAUUGGUUCCUAUUUUGUGGUGUAAGUAACCAGUGCCCAGCCAGGUAUCUGAGCAUUUAUCUGCACUUUUCCUUGCCUCUCACUCUCCUCAUUCAUGCCAUCAUCAUGAACUACCUCCUAAAUAUUUUUCAAAGCCAUUUGCCAUAACCACAACAACUACCCCCCAUGUUCAGACUAUUAUCUUUUACCUUGUUCCCUUCAGCAACCUUUUCAUUUAUUUCAGUCUCAGGUCUUGCUCUCUUCAUAAAUGUAGGAUUGGGAAGAAGAAAAUUUUCUAGG